Molecule: ribosomal RNA, 253 nt
Filed under: uncultured bacterium
Lineage: Bacteria
Description: partial 16S ribosomal RNA
Rfam family: Bacterial small subunit ribosomal RNA
Source: RNAcentral
UACGUAGGGUGCAAGCGUUGUCCGGAAUUAUUGGGCGUAAAGAGCUUGUAGGCGGUUUGUCGCGUCUGCUGUGAAAUUUCGGGGCUCAACCCCGAACUUGCAGUGGGUACGGGCAGACUAGAGUGUGGUAGGGGGGACUGGAAUUCCUGGUGUAGCGGUGAAAUGCGCAGAUAUCAGGAGGAACACCGAUGGCGAAGGCAGGUCUCUGGGCCGAUACUGACGCUGAGGAGCGAAAGCGUGGGGAGCGAACAGG